AUGGAAGAGGCGAAGAAGUUCUUGCCCACAAACUGUGAGCUGACAACCACCGGUGAGCAGGACCAACCGAAAGAGAAAAGUGGCAGCGGCCGCAAGGACUGGAGCGACGAGGUGGAGGCUGAUGUCAGUAGGACGAACAGAUUAGUCGAAGCUCAUGCCUGCGAGGUGUUAGACUUCGAUCAGAUGUGCAGUUCCAUGGACAAUGAGUCUGGGAACAGUAACAAGAAGGGGAGAAAGAGCAAGGCGCGGGUGAUUGACCUGUACACGCUGCUGAUCCACUGUGCCAAGGCGGUGACGGAUGACCGCCGGAGGGCAGGUGAGUUGCUCAUGGAGAUCCAGCAGCGCGCCUCACCCACUGGUGACGCCACACAGCGGCUUGCCUACUGGUUCACCGAGGGGCUGGAGGCACGGCUCACCGGCACAGGCAGCCAGGUGUAUGGGACACUUACGGCGAAGGCUACCUCUGCCAUGGCACACCCAGAGGCUUACCACGUAUUCAUUUCAACGUGCUGCUUCAGGAAUGUGUCCUUCUUGUUCGCCAACAGGGCCAUCUUCAAAGCGGCAGUGGGGAGGAGCACGUUGCACAUCAUUGAUUAUGGCUUUUCUUAUGGAUUCCAGUGGUCAGAACUUCUGCGCUGGCUGGCAGCAAGGGAUGGUGGCUCGCCAGAAGUCAGGAUCACCCACAUUGACCUCCCGCAGGCCGCAGCCCGGACUCCACCCAGGAAAACAUAUGGAGGAGAUCGGUAA
Molecule: ribosomal RNA, 747 nt
Filed under: Triticum aestivum (bread wheat)
Lineage: Eukaryota; Viridiplantae; Streptophyta; Magnoliopsida; Poales; Poaceae
Description: partial small subunit ribosomal RNA
Source: RNAcentral